GACGAACGCUGGCGGCGUGCCUAAUACAUGCAAGUCGAACGCAGUGGGGACGGGUGAGUAACACGUUGGUAACCUCCCCUCAGAGGGGAUAACACUUGGACACAGGUGCUAAACCGAUACUGAUGGAUGGUCCCGCGGUGCCUUAGCUAGUUGGUGAGGUAACGGCGCACCAAGGCCACGAUGCAUAGCCGACCUGAGAGGUCGAUCGGCCACACUGGGACUGAGACACGGCCCAGACUCCUACGGGAGGCAGCAGUAGGGAAUCUUCGGCAAUGGACGAAAGGCUGACCGAGCAAUGCCGCGUGAGUGAAGAAGGUUUUCGGAUCGUAAAGCUCUUUUGUUAGAGAAGCGGUAUCUAACCAGAAAGCCACGGCUAACUACGUGCCAGCAGCCGCGGUGAUUC
Molecule: ribosomal RNA, 403 nt
Filed under: uncultured bacterium
Lineage: Bacteria
Description: partial 16S ribosomal RNA
Rfam family: Bacterial small subunit ribosomal RNA
Source: RNAcentral